UGGAAUCAGGAUAAAAGCUAAUUAUAGAACAUCUUUGCUAGUGCUGUUUCUAUUUGCAUUUUCAAAACCACAGACGCAGAGAACACAGGCUUUCCUAACAUAUCAGCAUCUUCCUGAUUUCUGAGCUCUUUGAAGCCGCCCUUGCAUCUUUUCCUUGAAGAUGUGUUGUGGUUGAACAUUUCCAGUUCAAGGGCAAUUUUGAGAUGCAAAUCCAAACCACAGUGAGAUCGUAUCGCCUAACUCCAGUAACAACAGCUGUUACAAGACCAUGAAAGAUAACAAGCACUGUUCUGGAGAUUUACGGGCACCUUCUUGGCUCUGGUGAGGACCUCAUGAAGGAUGGGAUACGAGCUCUCCAUCAUUGCGAGUCAGCACCUGUGAUAAGAAAGAUCUGCGAAUCUCUGAGAGAUUGUUGGUGAGGUGGAAAGGAACAUCCUCACUCCUUGCACCUGAACUCCAGGUGAGUAAGGGCAGUGGUGGAGACCCAGCACCAGCACCCCUGCUGCACACUACGGCUGUGGGCCCUCUUAGCUCUCAGGUCAAAGAGGAAGAAAACUGGAGUGGCCUGAGAGGCUGCAAAGUGGUAACGAUGGCACCAGGGGCACCGGAGGGCACAUUUUUUCAGAAAUGAAACACACAGUACAGGUUAGUAGUUUACUAAUUUAACAAAUUUCUUUUUAAAGAUUUUAAAUCUUAGACUGU
This is a long non-coding RNA of Chinchilla lanigera (long-tailed chinchilla), 702 nucleotides long. RefSeq lists it as uncharacterized. NCBI's taxonomy places the organism in Eukaryota, Metazoa, Chordata, Mammalia, Rodentia, Chinchillidae. The record is from RefSeq and is a predicted model, not a curated record. The transcript has 4 exons.